This 65-nucleotide ribosomal RNA is filed under the name Priestia megaterium. Its description in RNAcentral is "Bacillus megaterium partial 16S ribosomal RNA". It matches the Rfam family "Bacterial small subunit ribosomal RNA", at positions 1 to 63 of the family's 1533-position model. RNAcentral also lists the same sequence under 1 other name. Lineage: Bacteria; Bacillati; Bacillota; Bacilli; Caryophanales; Bacillaceae. The record is from RNAcentral.
UUUCUUCGGAGAGUUUGAUCCUGGCUCAGGAUGAACGCUGGCGGCGUGCCUAAUACAUGCAAGUC